RNAcentral lists this ribosomal RNA (253 nucleotides) under uncultured bacterium. RNAcentral's name for it is "partial 16S ribosomal RNA". It matches the Rfam family "Bacterial small subunit ribosomal RNA", at positions 524 to 776 of the family's 1533-position model. The record is from RNAcentral.
UACGUAGGGUGCGAGCGUUAAUCGGAAUUACUGGGCGUAAAGUGUGCGCAGGCGGCCGCGCAAGUCGAGUGUGAAAGCCCCGGGCUUAACUUGGGAAUUGCGCUCGAAACUACGUGGCUGGAGUGUGGCAGAGGAAGGCGGAAUUCCACGUGUAGCGGUGAAAUGCGUAGAGAUGUGGAGGAACACCAAUGGCGAAGGCAGCCUUCUGGGCCAACACUGACGCUCAUGCACGAAAGCGUGGGGAGCAAACAGG